Molecule: long non-coding RNA, 9402 nt
Filed under: Populus tremula
Lineage: Eukaryota; Viridiplantae; Streptophyta; Magnoliopsida; Malpighiales; Salicaceae
Description: long non-coding RNA (PTRE_LNC001191)
Source: RNAcentral
GGCGCGUGGGUCCACGCGCCGCUGCAAGAAAAACCCAACAGCAAGGGGCUGGAUCGACUCCCUCUUCUCAGCCUCCCAACACCGGCGGUGAGGACCGCCGUUACCUACAAUAACAGAAAAAGCACAACACAGUCGAUUUUAAUUUUUGUUUUUUUUCGUUUUGCAGAGCUGCUUCGGUUUUUUCUUCCUCGGUUUCGGUUCUAAAUUCUUUCCCCAGAUCGGUCUGUUAUGGGUUUCUUCUUCGUCUCCGGUGGUAGAUCGUCGUGGAGGAGGAGCUGUGGGUGGUCGAUUGAAGCAGGAACCCGGCGGCGGUGCUGAGGAGUUCGGGUCGGUGGCGAUGGAGAAACGAAACUCCGCCCGUUCUCUGGUUGAGGGGAUGAUGGGGACUGCUCUGUGCUGGGAGAAGGAAAAAAAAAUCAGGGGAACAGGGGACGGCGGAUCUGUUUAGGCUGAGGUUCGGGCAGCUGUUGAAGGAAAAAUCAAAAGUCCGGUGGGGGGGGGGAGCUUGAGCUGCGGUGGAGAGGCAGAGGUGGAAGGGGUCUCGGCUGGUUUGCUACUGUUUGGGAGAGGUUGAGAGUCAGGGACGAGAGACAGAGGUGGAAGGGGCUGGUUCGGUUUGCUGCUGUUUUAAGAGGAUGAGGGUGGUUGGCUGUCUUGGUGUUGAUGGGAGGAAGAUCAGCGUUGUGGGUGGUGCUGGUUUGGGGAAGAAAAAAAAAUGAAACGGGGAGGGGGCUCUUCGGUUUUGGAGGAGAAGGGAGAGGAUUUUUGUGGCUUCGGGUGCAGGGAAAAAUUAAAACCAGAGGGGGGCUGCCAAAGGGAUUGGGGCUUGUGGGUGUCUCCCCCCUCCUGCUGGAUCCGAAAAAAUGGCUCAAAUCUCCCUCCCAGGUACAAGGCUGGGGAUCAGAAGAAAUAUGGGUUUUUUUUCAUUAUGAGGAGGGCCAACAUGUCGGCGGGAAACAAGGAAAAGAAGACCAUGGGUGGGGGCUAAGUAAUUAAUUUUUAGCCGAAAAAGAGGGAUUAAAUAAUGGUAUUGGGCCAGGGGCAACAGCUAAUUUCGGGUGAAGAGAAAAAAAAAAUUCUUAGGUUGCCCCUCCUUCCAAAAUUCAAAAUUCCCUUAGGCAAAAAUAUUGUUUUGGCCUCAAAAUUGGUCCCUUAAUUUUUUUAUUUUUUAUUUUUGUAAAAUUUGAUUUUUCUUGUUUUUUUUGUAUUUUUUGAAAACGAGCAAUAUCAACGUCGACUCAAAUACGGAAAAUCAAUUAUUUUAAAAAUGACGCGUGAAAAGUCGAACGCGUUCGAAAGACCCUUAAAAAUUAAAAAAAAAUAAAAAUUUAAACGACGUUGAAAAUGCUAAAAUGACGAAAAUAUAUUAAAAACAUAUUUUUUUGGAUUUUCUUUGUUUUUCUCUAUUUUUGGAUUUUUUGAAAAUAUAUCAAAAACAUGGGUCAAAAAUUGGGUAGCAACAGAUGCCCCCUCUUUACAAUGCUUACGAAGCAAAAAUCCUCGAUGUUUUGCAUAGUAAGCUUUGUAAAGAAAAACUUGUCUUUCUGCUUAAAAAAAAAACUUUUUUUUUCUUUUUUAUUAUCUUGAGAUCCCAUCUGGCGACCUCCUUUAACCAAAACCAAAGAAUGUGUGUAACUCGGUCAACCUGAAAUCCCAUAUGGAGAUCCCCUUUAACCAAAGCUACAUGAGAUCCCAUCUGGCGACCUCAUUCAACUGGAACAAAAAAAUGUGUAAAAAGCGGUCUCAUUGUAUGGGUGACGAACCCCAGAAAAAUGAUGGUCUCAUUGUAUGGGUGACGAACCCCAGAAAAAUGAUGGUCUCAUUGUAUGGGUGACGAACCCCAAUGGAAAGGAGGAAGAGUGGUCUCAUUCUUUGGGUGACCUACCCAGGGGGAAGAAUGGCCUCAUUCUUAUGGGUGACCUACCCAGGUAAAAAAAAUGGAGAAUGGUCUCAUUGUAAUGGGUGGCCUACCCAGCAAAAAUGGUGGUCUCAUUGUGAUGGGUGACCUACCCAAGUGGAAAGGGGAAAGAGUGGUCUCAUUCUUUGGGUGACCUACCCAGGGGAAGGAAUGGCCUCAUUCUUAUGGGUGACCUACCCAGGUAAAAAAAAAUGGAGAAUGGUCUCAUUCUUUGGGUGACCUACCCAGAAAAGAUGUGGUCUCAUUGUGAUGGGUGACCUACCCAAGUGGAAAAAGGAAGAGUGGUCUCAUUCUUUGGGUGACCUACCCAGGGGAAGGAAUGGCCUCAUUCUUAUGGGUGACCUACCCAAAAAAAAAAGAUGGAGAAUGGUCUCAUUCUAAUGGGUGACCUACCCAGAAAAAUGGUGGUCUCAUUGUGAUGGGUGACCUACCCAAGUGGAAAAAAUGUGAAGUGGUCUCAUUGUAAUGGGUGACCUACCCAGAUGGAAAAAAUGAUGAAGUGGUCUCAUGUGAUGGGUGACCUACCCAAUAGAAAAAUAUGAAGUGGUCUCAUUGUAAUGGGUGACCUACCCAUGGAAAAAAAUAUGAGAAUGGUCUCAUUGUAAUGGGUGACCUACCCAGAUGGAAAAAAUGAUGAAGUGGUCUCAUUGUGAUGGGUGACCUACCCAGAUGGAAAAAAUGUGAAGUGCGGUCUCAUUGUAAUGGGUGACCUACCCAGAUGGAAAAAAUGAUGAAUGGUCUCGUUUGAUGGGCGACCUACCCAAAGAAAGAAUGUGAAGUGGUCUCAUUGUAAUGGGUGACCUACCCAGAUGGAAAAAAUAUGAAGUGUGGUCUCAUUGUAAUGGGUGACCUACCCAGAUGGAAAAAAUAUGAUGAAGUGCGGUCUCAUUGUAAUGGGUGACCUACCCAGAUGGAAAAAAUGUGAAAACGGUCUUAUUAUGAUGGGCGACCUACCCAGAUGGAAAAAAUGUGAUAUGACAAGUGUGAAAAAUAGGACUUACCUGGCGAAGUCCUGAGGGGAUGACAGAAGAAGGGCUGGAAAACUUGGUGCUUCCUGAUAAUUCCCGAUCAUAGGGUUUGAAAACUCGGUGUUUCCUGACUGCAAGGGUUGAAAACUCGAGGCUUCCCGAUUGCAAGGUUGAUCUUUCAUUUCUUUGGGAUUUUCCUAAUGGUAGGGUUCAUCCCAUCGUCCUUUUAUUCCAUGAUCAAAACCGAUUCUUUAUUAUCAUCACCACAAUGCUUCUUUCUUUUCCACCAUCUUGCUGGACCUCAUUAAGGAUUUUCCUGUAACAAUUCAAAAAUAUGUGCAAAUGGUUUUUUUUUUUUGUUAGAUGAUAUGCAUGCAUCCUUACCUGAUUUGAAAUAUAGGUCCCCCCCUCCUUGAUGCUCCAUCGUCAUAGGGUGCCCUUGUUUGCAUCCCAAAGCUUUCUUUGUUCUUCCGAUGCAUUGGCUCAUUCAUGUGCUAGCCAUCCACUCAGCUGUAAAUGCAGUGCCCAUCCCGGGCUGUCUUCGACAAUUACUGCUCGCAUCGCUCAUCAAGCUUGACAAUGCCCCCAAGUGUGGUGAUGCUUGAUUCAUCAUGAAGAAUUUUCUCUCUUGGAUUCUUCUGAGAAUUAUCCUCUGAUUGAUUGUGUGCAUCAUGCCAACACCCAUCAAGAUUGUUAAUCAGUCAUGAACUUGCCUUCGGUUGAAACACCAUUCAAGUAUGUAUGGUCACCAGCCUUCAUGGAACUGCCAAGUCAUCCAGACAUGGAUCUCAUGCUUUGCAGUAAACGGCUCAUCAUUGUAAGCGCGAUGUAUUUCUCUAUGGAUUCCUCUUAGCUUGUCAAAUCAGAUCGUGAAAAUAACUGCUUUGGCAUCAUCAAUGAUGUUCAUGUUAUCACCCAUAUUCAUGCGGUGAAGUGUGCAUUUGAGCUUCAAAUAGAUGGUCCCAUAGUCAAUCUUGGUGGUGCAUGUUCGAUGUUCAUCACAUGCACUCAUGAUAACAUCUUCAAGUCAUAACCAUGUUUUAAGGUAACCAAGAUGAAGAUAUGAAAAUAUCCUUCUAGUGCAGCGUUGCUCAUCAAUUGCUGCUGAAGUGCACUAGAUCAUGGAUUGUCUUUGAACAACAUUGCCCCAAUGAUCUGAGCAUGUCAUUCUUCGUUUAUACAAGAAGGCUUUUUGUCAUUGUCAGAUGACUUUGAUGAACUUUGACGACUCAUCAUCUGAUUCUUUCUUUGCCCCCAGCUGAUAGAAUGUUGUUUGCUUUUCUUCAAGGGUCCACUGUAUUGCCCCCAGGUGGUCAACGUUUCAAGGAGUGUCGAGAAAUGUUGAUGUCAUUUUUGUCAAGGAUUUUGCAAACUCAAUUGAUGUUCUUGUUUGAAAAUCUUUCUUGUUCUGGAAUCAAAUCUCACAUUUCAACGAUCAUGUCUAUUCAAGUCUAAUUGUUGAAAUGAAAUCAGAGAGAUGUCUGUUUUUGAAUUAUUAUUUUUUUUUGAAAUUCAAACUUCUUUGGUCAAAGACCCAACACACUAUUCAAUGCAGUCCUUUGAUUGUCUUGUAUCUUGAAAACAGAAAUGACCCGUUGUAAGAUUUAAAAUGACUUUUUCAUGGUUCUUUGUGUCCACUUUAAACUCUGAUUUUGGGUAUAUCUUUUGAUGGUCUGUGAUGAGGUGACAUUUUUAUGAAUUUCAAAAACAAGAUGCUCAGGCUUUAUCAAGAAAGGUUGUUUCUUUUCUUAGCAUUUAUUUUAUCAGCAUGCAUAAUAACCAGUAGCUUAAUUCAUGAAGUCACGACCCUUAUGGAAAAACUCUUCAAGUUUUGAGAGCGCCAUUUAUCGAUUCAAAUUGCUUGCUUGAUUAAAAAGGGCUUUUAAAAGCACGUAAUGCAGGCUAUGGUUCAUGGCUAUGAAAGAAAAGAAUUUCAAGGCUCAAAAGGUGUUUGAGGGUUUCAACGACUAGGAUCAACAUUAAUUAUUCAUCGAUUCUCUUUCUCUUGUCGUCAUUGUAGAGAAAGUGACAUAUAACCUUGUUAAUCUCAAAUAUCAGAAUUCUCUUAACAUAGGUCAUAAUGCAAAUCCAACUUUUCUUUGAUGAAUAACCAAUCUAAAAUUUUGAAGACAUUAGAGGCUUUAUCCUAGACACACCAAAAGAUAUGAAGCAUCGAUUUUUCUAGUGUUGACUUUUGGCAUUUAUUGUCUUUUCUCAAUUGAAAGUUGUCUUGCCUCUCUUAGAAUUGGUAGGCAUUUUCUUUCAUUUCCUCAAAGUUUUUCUUGGAUGGCCCUCAAUCUAUGGAUUUUCUUCUUCUAGCCCUUUCUCAAACAUUGGACUUUUGUUCUAAGCUUUUCUUUGAUCCAUUGAUUUUAUCCGUGUCUCCAAAAUAUUUCUCAUUUGCCCCCAGUGUGGGGUGUGAUCCUAGUCAGGGUUUUUAUGAAAAAAUAUUCUAUCCAGCUCAAAAUGGGACUACAAGGGAGAUAAUUUUUAGAAAGUGACAGGAUAUCAAAGAUGGCCUUUUCUCAUUUCAAGCAAGGUCGGUUAGAACCGAUAAAUUUUGACCUCAUCUAGUGUAAUGAUUUGGACUUGUAAGAGUCAUGAUUCACGAGUCCAUAGCUACCGAAACCACUACAUGUCAUUAUGCAUACUGUUAAAACUUAGCUAUAUGAUGUGUGGUUCAGUUUCAGGAAGUACGAGUUCAAAAUUUGUUUGGUCACUUCAUGUCAUUUCAACAACAAUUGAGUCAUUUCUGCAAUCAAAACACUUUUAAUCUUCAGGAUUGAUUCACCUUUAUCGCAUGUUGGAGUUUGAUCAAAAUAUUUUGUCAAAAUACCAUUUGAAAGAAGUAUCUCUUGAUUUCAAACAACAAGAAGACAAACAAAAGACAUGUUUCGUUCAAGGUUGAGAUGUGACCCCAAAACAAAAAUGCAAAAUGGCAAAAAUCCAUAACAAAAAUGCUUGACAGUUUAACUCCUCCUUGGAUCAGCUUCUCUAGCAAUAUCUAUGUUUUGUCGAGCCAUUCCGAUCACUGGUCAUUCUGAAAAUGAUUGAUGACAUCAUCUUUCGCAAAUUGAUCUCGACUCUUGAAACUCUUGCAUCUGUUUAACUAAAAUGGUCGAGGACCCCACCAUGACAUCACAUCUGUUAUCUGGAUUAUACCACCUAGAAAUUGGUGGUUGCAUGGGAUUUGUCGGAGUCAAGCAAAAUUCUGGAAUCUGGCAGAUCCUUCAAUCUUUCCUCUUUUCAUAGCUUGUUCAAUUCUUCGGCAAAUCCUCACAACAUCAUUUCAAUCUUCCAAUGUUGUUGUGGUUGGCUGCAGAUUGUUAGAAAACUUUCCAACAGCUUGGUAAUAUUGGCAGCGCACAGAAACUUGUAGUAUCGCCACUACGACGUGUGGAAUCACACAUUGCCUCUAUUGGAAAAGCACCUGAUGAAUCUAAAACUCCUUUGUCCCCUCUUCGAUUUCUCACUGACAGUGCAGCAAACAAACACCUAUAAAGGAAGUCCUGCUCUGUUGAAGUUUCAGUAUUCUUCAUGUUUUUUUAGUCUAUGCAUGUCUCUUCUCUCUACUUUUGCGUUUUAGUACUGACACUGUUUGGAGGAAAAUCAUAGAUGAUCUGAAACUACUGUGUUCUUUCUUGGAUUUCCCACUUGCGGAUCCACAAAUAGAUUCUUGCCGAGAGGGCUCUGCUACGUUGAAGUUUGAUGUCUGCUCAUAUUUUUCAGACCAGGUCUGACUCUUCAACCUACUAAAAGGUCUUCGUGUUGAAGCUGAUGAGAGAAAUAUUUGUAGCAUAUGCAACUUAUAAAUCCCCUCUUGCAUUCCUAAUUUGCAGAGCCAUAAAUGGAUUUUUGUAUAGAGAGCUCUGCCACAUUGAAGUUUGACAACUGCUAAUAUUAUCAGACCGGGUCUGACUCUUCUGCCUACUACAAUGUUUUGCUGGUGCCACUGGUGGGAAAAAGUUUCAAAGCAUAUGAAAUUAAUACAUUCCCUUUUGCAUUUGCCAUUGACAGAUCCACAAAUAAAUCUCUACAGAGAUAGCUCUACCGCGUUGAAAUUCAGUGUCUGAUCAUGGUUUUUUCAGACCAACAUCUUGUGCUGCUGAACUGGAAUUGAGCUCAUAAUUGGGGUAACUUCAAAACAGACUGAUGCACCAUGAACAAAAGGCUAGUAGUCGUUUGGUUCCAUUAGAUGAUAUGGAGACAAUGAACAUUUAACAGUGCAACUGGACAAGAACUAGAAUUGUCAUUAGUUGAUGACUGAAGGCAUUGCUGCUGUUGUUCAUGACUGAAAAAGAGAGGCAGCUUCAAUUGGACGUGGACAAGCACUGUUCCCACAUAAGACUGUGCAAACAUUCUCUUUCCAUUUAAUGCUCAACACUUGUUCGAGCAGAUCUGAGUCCAGCUAUUUCAUCUUUGAUGCUCUCAAACUCAAAUUGAUAAUGAGCCUCUAUCUGAUAUCUUUCUUCACCUCCAUCAUUUUUCUUCAAUCACGUGCAGCACAACUUGUGCGGGGAAACCUACUUUUCAACCCGGUACAUGCAUGAUAAAUGUAUGAAUAUGUAAUCUAUAUGACGAACUCACCCUUCGAGGGGUGACAAUAUGGUCGUAACUCUUGUAUGAUGGAUAAGAAUCGUGAUUUUUUUGCCCAAACUCUACAAUGAAAAUUUUCGGAGUGACGGCCAAUGUGUCACCUACAAGUCUUGAGUUCAAGAUGCUUCCAGAAAGGUUUGCUCAAAUGCAAAACAAAACAAAUAUUUACGGAGCAUACAUCCUACAGGCAAGUUCUAAUCUUUUUACGUGAGACAGGGUAGGUUUGCUACUUGGUCUCUAAAAGGGUCUCUUGUUGUCCCAGUGAUCGCCUUCGUAAAGGCAAUAUAGGGGCCCAGUAGGUAAUUGGUUGGCACGUGUCCAACUAUUACCAGUCUAAGCACUCAACAAAGAGUUGGGGUUUACACAAACUUCAACCUUGACUCAAGUCGUAAGGUAAGCUGCUAGUCCCCCACCUAACCUAAAGCGGUGUGUGCUUUCAAAAAUUAAAACUUGUGAUGCAUGAGAGAAAUAUAUACAAUGCAUGAAUAAAACACAAAUAAAUAAAACAAAGCACAAAAAAAAAAAAUUGAACACAUCAAAACACAAAGCUUAGUCCGAUAAAGUUGAAAACAAUACCUGUCCCCAGUGGAGUCGCCAUCCUGUCGCACCCCAAAAAAAAAAUCCGAAGCGAAGCGCGCGCAUCGGCUGGCGAUUUUUCAUCGUUGUUGUUUGCUUUGAAUUCGUUCGUGGGAGUCGCCACCUAGUAAUUCAUUGAGGGCUACUAGGAAACCUGAUGUACUGGUCUUGUCAGAGAUCGCGGGUAAGGGACUGGUUGUGGUUAGGGAAGGUAUUAGCACCCCUAACACACCCUACCUGAGGUAAGCUGCUUUGUGUUCUGAUGUGAUUUGAAAAUUUAAAAUAUUAAUUAAAUUCUAAGGCUUGAAUAAAUCAGUUAUUAAAUCCCCGAAUAUAUGUAGAAACUUGUUCUUACAUUUUCGUAAAAACAAACUUGAUUUUAUUUGUCCUUGAGAUAUUUAACCAUAUUUAAGAAAAUUUAAAAUAUUAAUUAAAUUCUAAGGCUUGAAUAAAUCAGUUAUUAAAUCCCCGAAUAUAUGUAGAAACUUGUCUUACAUUUCGUGGAAAAUACAACUUGAUUUUAUUUGUCCUUGAGAUAUUUAACCAUAUUUAAAUUAAAAAUUAAUUCUUUUUCCUUUUAUUUUUACAAUUUAAUAACAUAAAUAAAAAUACAAACAAGCACACAUCUCUUUUUAUUAUUUAUUUUUCUUCUUUUUUCUUUUACAUUCACAUAUUACAAAUUUAAAAUAAAUAAAUAAAAAUUACAUUAAAACUUUAAAAUUUACAAAAUGAUCCCUAAAAAACUCCAGAAAUUGCAGGGAAGGACUCCUGGGGGCUGCGUGAACAGUCCGGCGCGUGGAUCCACGCACCCCCGCCACUGGCGGCGCGUGGGUCCACGCGCCGCUGCAAGAAAAACCCAACAGCAAGGGGCUGGAUCGACUCCCUCUUCUCAGCCUCCCAACACCGGCGGUGAGGACCGCCGUUACCUACAAUAACAGAAAAAGCACAACACAGUCGAUUUUAAUUUUUGUUUUUUUCGUUUUGCAGAGCUGCUUCGGUUUUUCUUCUUCUCGGUUUCGGUUCUAAAUUCUUUCCCCAGAUCGGUCUGUUAUGGGUUUCUUCUUCGUCUCCGGUGGUAGAUCGUCGUGGAGGAGGAGCUGUGGGUGGUCGAUUGAAGCAGGAACCCGGCGGCGGUGCUGAGGAGUUCGGGUCGGUGGCGAUGGAGAAACGAAACUCCGCCCGUUCUCUGGUUGAGGGGAUGAUGGGGACUGCUCUGUGCUGGGAGAAGGAAAAAAAAUCAGGGGAACAGGGGACGGCGGAUCUGUUUAGGCUGAGGUUUCGGGCAGCUGUUGAAGGAAAAAUCAAAAGUCCGGUGGGGGGGGGGAGCUUGAGCUGCGGUGGAGA